RNAcentral lists this ribosomal RNA (253 nucleotides) under uncultured bacterium. Its description in RNAcentral is "partial 16S ribosomal RNA". It matches the Rfam family "Bacterial small subunit ribosomal RNA", at positions 524 to 776 of the family's 1533-position model. The record is from RNAcentral.
UACGGAGGGUGCGAGCGUUAAUCGGAAUUACUGGGCGUAAAGGGUGCGUAGGUUGUUAAUUAAGAUAGCUGUGAAAUUCAUGGGCUUAACCUGUGGUUGUCAGCUAUGACUGAUUGACUCGAGUACGAGAGAGGGUAGUGGAAUUUCCGGUGUAGCGGUGAAAUGCGUAGAGAUCGGAAGGAACACCAGUGGCGAAGGCGGCUACCUGGCUUGAUACUGACACUGAAGCACGAAAGCGUGGGGAGCAAACAGG